GCAACCCCAGUUCUCAUAUGAUCACUGAAGUUAAGCAACAUCAAGCCUUUUCAGUAUCUAGAUGGGUGACCGUUUGCAAAUACCAGGUGCUGUAAG
Non-coding RNA from Acanthosepion pharaonis, 96 nucleotides. The record is from the annotation of a GenBank genome assembly. NCBI's taxonomy places the organism in Eukaryota, Metazoa, Mollusca, Cephalopoda, Sepiida, Sepiidae.